UACAGAGGUCCCAAGCGUUGUUCGGAUUCACUGGGCGUAAAGGGUGCGUAGGCGGUCGGGUAAGUCCGAUGUGAAAUCCCGGAGCUCAACUCCGGAACGGCAUUGGAUACUAUCCGGCUCGAGGUUGGGAGGGGGGACUGGAAUUCUCGGUGUAGCAGUGAAAUGCGUAGAUAUCGAGAGGAACACCAGUGGCGAAGGCGAGUCCCUGGACCAAUCCUGACGCUGAGGCACGAAAGCCAGGGGAGCAAACGGG
This 253-nucleotide ribosomal RNA is filed under the name uncultured bacterium. RNAcentral's name for it is "partial 16S ribosomal RNA". It matches the Rfam family "Bacterial small subunit ribosomal RNA", at positions 524 to 776 of the family's 1533-position model. The record is from RNAcentral.